RNAcentral lists this ribosomal RNA (211 nucleotides) under uncultured bacterium. RNAcentral's name for it is "partial 16S ribosomal RNA". It matches the Rfam family "Bacterial small subunit ribosomal RNA", at positions 1290 to 1500 of the family's 1533-position model. The record is from RNAcentral.
AGUUCGGAUUGCAGGCUGNAACCCGCCUGCAUGAAGUUGGAAUCACUAGUAAUCGCGGAUCAGCAUGCCGCGGUGAAUGCGUUCUCGGGCCUUGUACACACCGCCCGUCACACCAUGAGAGUCGGGAACACCCGAAGUCCGUAGCCUAACCGCAAGGGGGGCGCGGCCGAAGGUGGGCUCGAUAAUUGGGGUGAAGUCGUAACAAGGUAGC